This 511-nucleotide ribosomal RNA is filed under the name uncultured bacterium. Its description in RNAcentral is "bacterial SSU rRNA". It matches the Rfam family "Bacterial small subunit ribosomal RNA", at positions 15 to 518 of the family's 1533-position model. The record is from RNAcentral.
GAUCAUGGCGUCAGGAUGAACGCUAGCGACAGGCCUAACACAUGCAAGUCAGGGGCAGCGCGGGAGAAGCUUGCUUUCCUGGCGGCGACCGGCGCACGGGUGCGUAACAGGUGUGCAAUCUGUCCAUAGUCGGGGGAUAGCCCAGCGAAAGCUGAAUUAAUACUCCAUGUGAAUCGAAGCCGCAUGACUUUGAUUUGAAACGCAAGGACUAUGGGUGAGCACGCUUCUGAUUAGGUAGUUGGUGGGGUAACGGCCCACCAAGCCGACGAUCAGUAGGGGUUCUGAGAGGAAGGUCCCCCCACAUUGGAACUGAGACACGGUCCAAACUCCUACGGGAGGCAGCAGUGAGGAAUAUUGGUCAAUGGGCGAGAGCCUGAACCAGCCAAGUCGCGUGAAGGAUGAAGGUUCUAUGGAUUGUAAACUUCUUUUGUCCGAGGGUAAAAAAGGCCACGUGUGGCUUCUUGCAAGUAUCGGACGAAUAAGCAUCGGCUAACUCCGUGCCAGCCGCUGC